UACGUAGGGUCCGAGCGUUGUCCGGAAUUAUUGGGCGUAAAGGGCUCGUAGGCGGUUCGUCACGUCGGGAGUGAAAACUCGGGGCUUAACCCCGAGCCUGCUUCCGAUACGGGCAGACUAGAGGUAGGCAGGGGAGAGCGGAACCCCUGGUGUAGCGGUGGAAUGCGCAGAUAUCAGGAAGAACACCAAUGGCGAAGGCAGCUCUCUGGGACGGUACUGACGCUGAGACGCGAAAGCGUGGGGAGCGAACAGG
RNAcentral lists this ribosomal RNA (253 nucleotides) under uncultured bacterium. Its description in RNAcentral is "partial 16S ribosomal RNA". It matches the Rfam family "Bacterial small subunit ribosomal RNA", at positions 524 to 776 of the family's 1533-position model. The record is from RNAcentral.